UCCCUUCCGCUCUGCACUUCCUCCCUUUUCGCCCGAGAUACAGCCCAGACACACACACAUACAAACACACACAGACACAAACACACACAAACAAAACACACACAAACAAACACACACACAAACACACACAAACAAAACACACAAAACACACAAAUACACACAAACACACACAAAUACACACAAACACAAACAACACAAACACACAGAAACAGACAAACACAUACGCACACACACACCUCCCCACACACAACCUCCGAGUCCCUCCGGAGGUGCCGCUGUGGCCGCUCCCGGGCCGGGCCGGAGCUCCGGAAAUACCCGGGAGCUGCCGCUGGCACCGAGGCUGAGCGGGACGUGGGGCCGAAGGCAGCGGGGAGCCCGUGAGGAAACGGAGAGGCUGAGGAGCACCUGCGGGGGCUGUGGCGGCUGUGAGGGAGCGGCGGCACUGAGGGCACUGAGGCCGCCGCACCGAGGGAGGCCUCCCUGCCCGCAGCCACCAACCCCAGCUCAGCAGAUGUUGAAGUUGUGGCAGAUUGUCUGAGGAGAAGCUUUCAAUGCCCCACCCUGAAAUGGCCUCCUUUUUGGAGGAGGAUGUCAGUGUUGUCCCUGAGCGAAGCCUGAGAACAAGGCUGCAGCUGAGACAGCCUUGCCUGGCAACACAAGCAAUGGGAAGAGUUCUCUGGAGCCUGAGGAGCCUGCUAAGAGGAGAGCCCACAUUCCUCGAGACAGGUCUGAGAGGGCUGCUCUGAGCUGGACAGACAGGAAGGCGAUCAGAAGAGUUCAGUCCUUGUGUGCAGUGUCGGUGCCUCCUCUGUGCUUUCAGUUCCAAUCCUGCACUGGCACCACCUCCCCAGGCCCUGUCCCCCACACUCCUGCAGAGGCACCUGAGGCCUCUGCUGUGGCAACAGAGCAGGGACUGAGCCCGACCUGUGGGAGUUGUGUCACCAACCCCGAUGUCCCCAUUCCCAGCUGAGGUCCAUGGAUCAAUUUGCUGCAGGGUGACAGUGCUACAGAGGCAGCAGCAACAGCAAAAUCCCCACCAUGAAGUGAUGAACUCAGUGUAAAAGUCCAAACUUCUUGCCUCAAAUCAUAACCACAGUCUGCUGACACUGGUCCUGAGACACAGGAGAAAAACAAGCAGCAGAACAUGUGAGGCCAAACAAUCCUCAAAUCAGUAACUAAAGGAAAAGCCUAAGCUUGCCGAGCUUAGCAAGGCCUCAGAGGAGAGAGGCAGCCCUUUGGAUCCUGCGUUCCAGACCAAAGCUGGUGCAGUGUGCCGGCCUCGAAGGGAGCUCCUUUCCUCACAGCUCUUCCUCCUAGAGCUGGAGGAGCUGUGGCUCACUGCAGAGGGAGUUCCUGAGUCCCAGGUAAUGGAGCUGGUUCAUGAUUCGGCUCACAGCACCCUUCAGCUUACACUGUUCCAGUGAGGACUGAGGGCUCUGUCAGCACAGGGAAAGAGCAGGGCUGGAGUUCUUUGUGCGAGCUGGGACUGUGGUUAAAGCUCUCGUGGGUGCCACUUGCACUGCAAGUGCUGCGGCUUUAUGGGGAUACUGCAUAACUCUACGGUCUGAAAACCUCUGGAAGGAUUGCUGUUCCCUGCAGAGCAGGCUCAAAGUCCCAAAUGAGGGUCUGCCUUUCCGGUGUGUUUCACAGGUCCUGGUAGAAGUACAGGUGCUGCUCCAGGGAAAUGUGGACUCAGGGACCUGCUGCUGCCACCUGAGCGACCCCUCCAGGACAAGUGAAGCUGCUUCUGGAUUGCUCCCAGAGUUUUUUAUCAUCCGACCCAUUCAAAAGUGAUUUACCACUCCUUCAUUACCUCUGCCAGAUGCUGUUUGAAGGUGCUCUCUCUGUUCUCUGAGAGGCAUCUCUACACCAUCCCAUGCUUGCAAAUGCUCUUGUAUGGUGACAGAGGCUGUCAAAACACUGCCAGCAGCACCUGUGAAGACUCAGCUGCUGAAUUUGUGCUUGCCCGAGGCGCUUCCUGUGGACUGCAGACAUCAGAACCGGCUCCAGACCUUGAUCUGGGAACUUCAAGGAACUCCCUCCGGAGUCUGCAUCUGUGAGAGAAGCUUGGCACCCUCCCCAGCAGAGACUGCCCAAGUUGUUCAUCCUCUCUUGGACUGGUGAAAACAUUUGUUGUCAUCUUGGGCUGUUCUCUUUCUUGUGUUGGGGAGUGUUUUUUUGUUGUUUUCUUAAUAAACAAGUUUUUUCCACUUUUCCUCUGAGGAAA
Prinia subflava (tawny-flanked prinia) is the source of this 2227-nucleotide RNA transcript. RefSeq lists it as uncharacterized. Lineage: Eukaryota; Metazoa; Chordata; Aves; Passeriformes; Cisticolidae. The transcript has 6 exons. The record is from RefSeq and is a predicted model, not a curated record.